CCCUUAGAUGUUCUGGGCCGCACGCGUGCUACACUGACCGGUGCAACAAGUUUCUUUCCUUGGCUCGAUAGGCCUGGGUAAUCUUUGAACGUGAAUCGUGAUGGGGAUAGAUGAUUGCAAUUAUUCAUCUUCAACGAGGAAUUCCUAGUAAACGCAAGUCAUCAGCUUGCAUUGAUUACGUCCCUGCCCUUUGUACACACCGCCCGUCGCACCUACCGAUUGAAUGGUCCGGUGAAAUCUUCGGAUCUGAGAGAUGUCUGAUUAAUUUCGGACGCCUUUUGGAAAAGUUGUUUAAACCUUACCAUUUAGAGGAAGGUGAAGUCGUAACA
RNAcentral lists this ribosomal RNA (329 nucleotides) under uncultured eukaryote. RNAcentral's name for it is "partial 18S ribosomal RNA". It matches the Rfam family "Eukaryotic small subunit ribosomal RNA", at positions 1470 to 1796 of the family's 1831-position model. The record is from RNAcentral.